Ornithorhynchus anatinus (platypus) is the source of this 756-nucleotide long non-coding RNA. RefSeq lists it as uncharacterized. Lineage: Eukaryota; Metazoa; Chordata; Mammalia; Monotremata; Ornithorhynchidae. The record is from RefSeq and is a predicted model, not a curated record. The transcript has 2 exons.
UUCAAGGGCAACAGUGGCAGCCAGAAACUUUCUAGCCUGACUGUGUCCUCCAACUCCCUCUUCAGAGUCAUCUGGAUUGAGAAGUAGGAAGAGCCCAGUGGAGGAUGCUGGCAGCAUUUCCCAAACUGCAGAAACACUGACAAACCAUCAAGCUACAAAUUAGUAGAACUGCUUCCUACUGGCCUAGAGACAGAGGCAGAGCCUGAGUUUUGGUACUUUCUUGAUGAAGGCCAAGAGAAAUAUUCUGAAGAAAACAUAAUUGUAUGGGUUGGAGAGAAGACUUUCUCCCAGAGGGAAGAAAAGAUAUGUUGGAAAAGGACCCCACAUCACCUCAACUGAAAGAGAGUUGUAUUAUACCCUAAAUUUCUACAAUAAUGCUGGAUCAGGAAGCAAAUGUCUCAAAGUACCAGGCAAGAAAAUAAGUUCUAAAGGCUUAGGAAACUGGUUUAAGGAAGGUAAAGCAGCCUGAGAUUCUAGGGCAAAAACCACUGUGUGCAGACAACACAGGCAGCCUCAAUCUGGUCCUGAAACUUGCUGGGGGGAAUGUCACAAUUACUGAAGGAGGGGAAAUGAAGCUGAGGACCUAAGAACUGGGGUGGAUCUUGAGCUCUAAUCCAGUUACUUUUCUCUGGUGUGGGUGGGGGCCUUCCCCUCUCCCCGUGGGCUGACUGGCCACGUGAGGCAGGAAACUUUGACCACCCCAUCCUGUUUUGUAUGUCGCUCUGUUAUGCUGCACAUACAUCAUUUUCAGUAUGA